UUUGAUCCUGGCUCAGGACGAACGCUGGCGGCGUGCUUAACACAUGCAAGUCGAACGGAAAGGCCCUGCUUUUGUGGGGUGCUCGAGUGGCGAACGGGUGAGUAACACGUGAGUAACCUGCCCUUGACUUUGGGAUAACUUCAGGAAACUGGGGCUAAUACCGGAUAGGAGCUCCUGCUGCAUGGUGGGGGUUGGAAAGUUUCGGCGGUUGGGGAUGGACUCGCGGCUUAUCAGCUUGUUGGUGGGGUAGUGGCUUACCAAGGCUUUGACGGGUAGCCGGCCUGAGAGGGUGACCGGCCACAUUGGGACUGAGAUACGGCCCAGACUCCUACGGGAGGCAGCAGUGGGGAAUAUUGCACAAUGGGCGGAAGCCUGAUGCAGCAACGCCGCGUGCGGGAUGACGGCCUUCGGGUUGUAAACCGCUUUCGCCUGUGACGAAGCGUGAGUGACGGUAAUGGGUAAAGAAGCACCGGCUAACUACGUGCCAGCAGCCGCGGUGAUACGUAGGGUGCGAGCGUUGUCCGGAUUUAUUGGGCGUAAAGGGCUCGUAGGUGGUUGAUCGCGUCGGAAGUGUAAUCUUGGGGCUUAACCCUGAGCGUGCUUUCGAUACGGGUUGACUUGAGGAAGGUAGGGGAGAAUGGAAUUCCUGGUGGAGCGGUGGAAUGCGCAGAUAUCAGGAGGAACACCAGUGGCGAAGGCGGUUCUCUGGGCCUUUCCUGACGCUGAGGAGCGAAAGCGUGGGGAGCGAACAGGCUUAGAUACCCUGGUAGUCCACGCUGUAAACGGUGGGUACUAGGUGUGGGGUCCAUUCCACGGGUUCCGCGCCGUAGCUAACGCUUUAAGUACCCCGCCUGGGGAGUACGGCCGCAAGGCUAAAACUCAAAGGAAUUGACGGGGCCCCGCACAAGCGGCGGAGCAUGCGGAUUAAUUCGAUGCAACGCGUAGAACCUUACCUGGGUUUGACAUGGAUCGGGAGUGCUCAGAGAUGGGUGUGCCUCUUUUGGGGUCGGUUCACAGGUGGUGCAUGGCUGUCGUCAGCUCGUGUCGUGAGAUGUUGGGUUAAGUCCCGCAACGAGCGCAACC
This 1083-nucleotide ribosomal RNA is filed under the name synthetic metagenome. Its description in RNAcentral is "bacterial SSU rRNA". It matches the Rfam family "Bacterial small subunit ribosomal RNA", at positions 12 to 1103 of the family's 1533-position model. The record is from RNAcentral.